CCUAAUCUCUUCUUCUCAGAUCCCCAUGAAUAAGGACAGGCCUGGAGGGCAGGGCUCUGGCAAUUUCCCUAAGAGAUACAGAGUCCCAGAGUUCUGUUUGGUUUCUAGGUUGUGACCCUAUUCCCCGAUUGUACCGAAACCCGUUGUCUCCUCAGAUGAAAUUAGUCCCGCCCCAGUGACCUCACUUAACCUUAAUUACCUCUUUAAAGACCAUAUCUCCAAAUAUGGUCACAUUCUUCAGUACUGGGGGUUAGGAUUUCAGCGUGUGAAUUCUGUAGGAUGCAAUUCAACCUGGAACACCCCACAUCCAAUCUGUGAAUGAAUCCCAGCAGUUCCACCUUCACAACAUAUCGGGAACCCAGCCGCCUCUCCCCACCUUCCCUAUUGUCUUCCUGGUCUAAGCCAUUGCUGACUGCCAUCUGCACCAACCACACUUGCCUCCUAGCAGCCAACGGUGCCCCUGAAUUCCCUUCUCCAGUGACUGAAACGCUGAACCAAGCUUGGAGCUGGAGCAGCCAUUUUGGGCCACGAGGUAGAAGCCAUGUGUUGAAGAGAAUGGAACAAGAUGGAAGAAACCUGGUGAUCAGGGAGCCGCCAUAACAGUCUUGGGUUGUCUCUGUUUACAUGAGAGAUCAGCCCACCCCAUGCAUAUCUGCCAGCUGCCUCUUACACAAUCCCUCAGAGCCCACGGAGCUGCACUGUGGGCCCUCAGAUGAUCUGAUGCAGGUAUAGAACCCCUCCCCCACAUUCUUUUCUUGCUAGCUUGCCUCCAUUACAAACCAUCUUCCUCACUCAGAUAUUUUCAAUCCUGGUAGUUUUUGCUUGUUUGUUUGAGACAGGGUUUCACGCUGUCACCCAGGCUGGAGUGCAGUGGUGCAAUCAUAGCUCACUGCAGCCUUGACCUCCUGGGCUCAAGUGAUUCUCCUUCCUCAGCCUCCCAAAGUGCUGGGUUUACAGGCGUGAGCCACUGCACCUGACUUCCCCAGCAGUUUUGACCGUGAUCUCAUUUGCCUCUUUCUCCUGAUUAGGCCAGCAUUAGAGCAUCCAAGAGGCUGCAUAAUAUGGAAUAAACAUAGGUCAUUAGAUUUAAAUCAAAAUUCUGGCUUUUUACUUCCUAGCGAUGCAAGCUUUGUUGAGUUCCUUAACUUUUCUUAGCACUUCUGCUUUUUAAAAAAAGUUGCUAUAAUACUAAAUCGUAGGAUUUUUGAGAUAACUAAAUGAGAAAAUGUGCAUAAGACUUGCAGCACCUUAAGUGCUCAGUAAAUAGCAACUCUUUUUUUCCCGCUUCUAUUUCCCAAAAUAGUCCUGGCUGGGAAGACUCAUUGUCACAGGCUACACUAAAUAGUUUGGUAUUAUUAUUACUCAGAUUUCAUUCAAUACUUUCAUUCAUCAUUCUAAGGAACACAAUAACAUGUCAUUUUUGGCAUCUGCCUCUGGGGAAGUAAUAGCGUCAUUUUUUCAUAGAUCAUUUUCAUAACUGGCCCUUUGCCCUCACAUAAUACCACAGGGUGGGCUCAGACCGAAACUGUCAAGAUCCUCAAUGGUUUCGCACUUAGCACCAGCCUCCGUUGGUCCCUUGGAAACCGGAACAGUACCAACCAAGAAGUUUCUACUUCGCUUCUACUCAGAUGGCACUGCCGAGAAAAGGUGGGAGGGCUGCCUGCUCAAGUGUGGCCUUUAAAGACAAAGUGGAGAAGAAAAAGAGGUGAGAAUGUGGUGCAGUAGUCUGUGAACCUGAGAUAUGCAGCGGUGGGAAAUAGCGGCCCCUAAGGAGCCAUUUGUAUAAACCAGUUCACAGCUACAUGCAAUGUGCCACCUGCAAACAGAGCCUCUGAGACAUAGAAAGGGUUUUCCAAUAUUGCUUUUACCAUAGAAAGGAUUAUGGCUCAUCUUGGUUCUCGGUGAAAUUUGGUUUGAUGCUGCCUGCACAGUUCCAGAGUUUCUUGGUCUAAGCCAGGGGCCACAGGCCCCCUUACAAACAAGAUGUUUUCUUUAAGAUAUAACUGAGGCUGCUGUAAAAAUGAGAGAUAAAAACAGAACUUUGUUUUUCUUAGGUAAGAGUGUGAGCAUAAGCCUUCCAGAGCUGCCAUGUGAUUCCAUGAUGUUGGGGAUGUAGUUUCUUCCUGUCUUUUUGCUCUAGUAUGCUCCAUACACAGCUUCCAUCUUGUGAUAGCACAUGGCUGCCCCAGCUGCCACUAUCCCAUCCACACUCCAACAGGCAGGAAGAAGAACUAGAGCAAGAGAAGACAUCCUGCUUUCCAUUAAAGGCAGUCUGGAAAUUCCAAGCAUCAAUUCCACAAUCAUCUCCUUGGCCAGAACUUAGUAACUGGCCCACACCUAGCUGCAAGGGAAGCUGGAAUUGUAAUCCUAGGGGGACCAUCAUGAGUCCAUCUGGAACAUUACUAUGGAAGAACAGAAUGCAAUAUUGGGGAACAGCUAGCACUCUGCACAAAGGACUAGACAGGAAUAUAAACCAGUGAUUCUUGCCAGGUGUAAGGACAUAUGUGUAUCUUUUGUGGGCAGUGGAGCACAGAGCAAACAGGGAGAGCCCCAUUUUAAGCAGCAGCCCCUUUCACCUUAGAUGAUGUGGUCAUGCAGAAAUUCAGGCUCCAUGUUCAACUCUGCUGUUUUCAAAAGAAGCCAGGAAUCAACAUUUUAAAAAAUAAUGAAAUCUUGGCCAGGCACGGUGGCUCAUGCUGUAAUCCCAGCACUUUGGGAGGCCAAGGCAGGUGGAUCACCUGAGGUCAGGAGUUCGAGACCAGUUUGGCCAACACGGAGAAAUCCCAUCUCCACUAAAAAAAAAAAAAAAAAAA
RNAcentral lists this long non-coding RNA (2813 nucleotides) under Homo sapiens (human). RNAcentral's name for it is "HSALNT0071528". Lineage: Eukaryota; Metazoa; Chordata; Mammalia; Primates; Hominidae. The record is from RNAcentral.